Molecule: ribosomal RNA, 443 nt
Filed under: uncultured Acholeplasma sp.
Lineage: Bacteria; Bacillati; Mycoplasmatota; Mollicutes; Acholeplasmatales; Acholeplasmataceae
Description: bacterial SSU rRNA
Rfam family: Bacterial small subunit ribosomal RNA
Source: RNAcentral
CGGAGCAUGUGGUUAAUUCGACGAUACGCGAAGAACCUUACCAGGUCUUGACAUCCCCUGCAAAGCUAUGGAGACAUAGUGGAGGUUAUCAGGGAGACAGGUGGUGCAUGGUUGUCGUCAGCUCGUGUCGUGAGAUGUUGGGUUAAGUCCCGCAACGAGCGCAACCCUUAUUGCUAGUUACCAUCAUUAAGUUGGGGACUCUAGCGAGACUGCCAGUGAUAAACUGGAGGAAGGUGGGGAUGACGUCAAAUCAUCAUGCCCCUUAUGACCUGGGCUACAAACGUGAUACAAUGGCUGAAACAAAGGGCAGCGAAGGAGCGAUCUGGAGCGAAACCCAAAAAAGCAGUCUCAGUUCGGAUUGAAGUCUGCAACUCGACUUCAUGAAGUCGGAAUCGCUAGUAAUCGCGGAUCAGAACGCCGCGGUGAAUACGUUCUCGGGGUUU